This is a long non-coding RNA of Haliotis rubra (blacklip abalone), 1411 nucleotides long. RefSeq lists it as uncharacterized. NCBI's taxonomy places the organism in Eukaryota, Metazoa, Mollusca, Gastropoda, Lepetellida, Haliotidae. The record is from RefSeq and is a predicted model, not a curated record. The transcript has 2 exons.
UCUCACUGGAAGCUUCAUUGUGGUGGUUGUUGGUAUGCUUUCUGGAUUGCUUGUCCUGGUACUGGAGCACUUCUGGAAUAGGUUUUCAAAGAGGAAGCAAUCCCCAAUCACACAGGUGAGACCGACUGUCAGUAGCAAGUCGUCCCUAGGGAUACCAGGCUCCGGCAACAUGGAGGUUACUGUUCUGGGAGCUACCAUCCUGAAAGACGAGCUGCACACUAAGCCGGACAGCUAGACAUCUUGACAUCUUUCGGGCUGCGGCAGUUUGGGGCUCACAGAGCUAGAUGCCAAGCAUGACUAGUUUGUGCUCACUCCGUUAGUUUGCGGCUCAUACAUCUAGACAUCUUUCGGACUGCUGCAGUUUGGAGCUCACUCACCUGGACGCUGAGUGUGACGUGCCUUUGGUCUUAUACAGCUAGACGCCGAGCCUGAAUGCUGCAGAUAACGAGCCGGUGAAUAAACUGGUCACAUGAUGUGGAUUCCCUUGAAUAGGGUGUGCUCUCCUACGCAGAUCGACACCUGGUCAAUACGUUGAACGCAUCCUGCAUUGUUCCAGUUUGAAGAAUAUGAACGGUGUUUACAGCUAUGCCAGUACUUUCAUGUCGGAUUCAAUCACAUUAGGUGAAAACGGUUGUCAUGGUCAGUAAAUUGUGUUAUUCUGCUUCUUGUAUGCAAAAUGGCUAAUUAUAGAAAUUUUACAUUCACACUAUGCAAAUGCUCAAUCCAGUUUUUCAUCUUGCAGUAUAUGUGAUACACUAUUAAUAAUUGUGUUUUAUCUUCACACGUUAUACGGCCUGAUAACAAUCGGUCGAUGAUAUCAGUGUUCGAAGCCAUCUUCAGCUGACGUUCAUAAGGUCCCACUGAAACUGUUCUGGCAGGUAUUCCACUCGUGUUUCAAAUUGGUGACGUUUAAAAAUGUCACUAACUCAUCAGUCAAUUUGUCUUUCGCCCUUAUACCCAAGUUCGACGAUCGAUUUGCACCUCAGAAUCGCUGCGGACAUCCACCAGAGUUUCAUAUUCUUUCCACACAAUGGAACAUGUCAGAAUCAGUAAGUUCAGAUAACAUUCUCUUGUGCCAAAGGAGUAGCAUAUUGUUGGAGCGGAGAUGCAUGUUCUUGGUGUAUGCAGACAAUUAGCAAGUGAUAGCCUAUCUAUCCUCAGGUCAUUUUGUCGACCAAAUACAUAAAUAUACUAUUUGUUUUAGAACAGCUGACUACAGUCUUGGUCAGUGAGAUCAAUAUUAAUUACUCAUCUAUUAAUGAAGACCAUUCAGGCCGAGGUCUCAAACAUCCCCCCUUGUUCAAUAAUUGUUCAUAAUUGUGUACACACGGUUUUUGUUUCUGCUUCCAAGUUCGAUGUUCACGAAUGUAUUUCAUGCUGCUGUAAAUAAAUCACUUUGUACUUAUCUUCA